UGUGUGUUAGUGGAAGCGUCUGGAAAGGCGCGCGAUACAGGGUGACAGCCCCGUACACAAAAAUGCACAUGCUGUGAGCUCGAUGAGUAGGGCGGGACACGUGGUAUCCUGUCUGAAUAUGGGGGGACCAUCCUCCAAGGCUAAAUACUCCUGACUGACCGAUAGUGAACCAGUACCGUGAGGGAAAGGCGAAAAGAACCCCGGCGAGGGGAGUGAAAAAGAACCUGAAACCGUGUACGUACAAGCAGUGGGAGCACGCUUAGGCGUGUGACUGCGUACCUUUUGUAUAAUGGGUCAGCGACUUAUAUUCUGUAGCAAGGUUAACCGAAUAGGGGAGCCGAAGGGAAACCGAGUCUUAACUGGGCGUUAAGUUGCAGGGUAUAGACCCGAAACCCGGUGA
RNAcentral lists this ribosomal RNA (400 nucleotides) under Escherichia coli. RNAcentral's name for it is "partial 23S ribosomal RNA". It matches the Rfam family "Bacterial large subunit ribosomal RNA", at positions 323 to 728 of the family's 2925-position model. Lineage: Bacteria; Pseudomonadati; Pseudomonadota; Gammaproteobacteria; Enterobacterales; Enterobacteriaceae. The record is from RNAcentral.